AGAAAACAAAGCCAUCCUGACCCUAAAACAACAAAUCCCAACGCUCUUCUGUGAAGUCCAGAAAAAGAACUGAAGGAAAUGUGCAAAGCCAACACAUACAUAAGAACGCCCAUGAAAAACAUUUGUUUCAGGCUGUCAGCACUGCAGCACUCACUCUCCAGAAAAGCUCUGACACAUGAUGUGCUCCAGGCCUUGGCAACAGCAAAAACAAGGUGAGAUGCAAAGCUGCUGAUAAAAGACUCACCCGGCUGACAGUAAUAGCAGAAGAAAGGGCUGCUUCAAAUCACUGUUCUCUAACUGGCAGAUUUCAUGAAAAAUACACCUGCAAGGUGUCUGAUAGGGCAGCCUUCAUCCCUGCAAACGCUGACAGCCAACUCGAGCGCUGGCACUGCCUGUCUGUGGCACUGAAUCCAAAUGCCACGUGCUUCCAGCAGGAGCUGAGCCCAUCGCUGAGCAGGGAAACAACAGGCCUCACAUCGUGUUAUGACUGCUGUAACAGCAAGUCAGAUGCUGUUUUACAUGUGCUAAAGGCUGAUACUGCUUCAUAUUUGUACUGGCACUGAACACAUCACAACCAGUAUUAGAAAUACGCUUCUUAGCCAUUCUUGCCGUGGUCACAAUAUUAUUUUAAUCCAGCUCUCAUCUCUGCUCGUCCCACAGUAGCCCUCGCAGCAGUGCUGCAAGGCAGGCCAGGAAACUGUAGAAGCUGGGAAACUGACAACUUAGCAUAGAAAAACCUGUUACAAAUUCCUACAGAGAACUCACACAGAGCACACGCUAUCUGGGUUGCCUUGGAGUAUCUCCUGAAGUUUCAAAGCUUCGUUUUACUAAACUAUACACAAAUACGAAUCUCAUAGAAGCACAAAGAUUAGCAAAGUCAUUUUUACAUUAAAUCUGAUUAUAAGAUUUCUCUUCCUUCUUUGGGAUUGCAAGUAUGUGAUAGCAGUAUCCGUACCUUCCAAAUAUAACUCCAUUAAUAGAGGCUGAGUUUAGCAUUUAAUGCAACAGCUGCUUCACUGAUAGCCUGAAAGAAGGCAAAAGGAUUGCCUGAUAAAGCCAUUACAGAGAGCCAGCCAGGGCCUUUUAGUUCAGUUGUGCCAGGAAAACUGGCUCCUUUUCUUUUUUAUUUAUGGCUUGAGAGAUGAAAACCACUUAAAGGACAUUUUCCUGGGAGUCACUGUUUAGGUUUUUAUCUUGAAGUUACUUAAAAAUGUAUUCCCAAUGAAAGCAAUCCUACACUGACUUGCAGGAGAUUCUUCUCUUAUGGUAGUAGAGAGGGAUGACAAACCUACACACACUGCUUGCCCACAGAAGUACCCACAUUCAAAAACUGAGAAAAGAAAUAGAAGGUAUUUAAUGACAAAAAGUCUCCUUUUUAUUAAAACUUUGCAAGUUACAAUGAAAAAGGAUAGAUUGUCAAUUUUUAUGAUCACAGACUGCAGCUCUUCUAAUAGCCACUACGUUUACAGGGGAAUUCCACUAUGGGGUUUGAGUAUAGCUGUUCUGUGCUGCCGUGGAGCAGUCCUUUGUGGUUGACUCGUACUGUCUAAUGGUCUGCAGUACCAUCACACCUGUGAAGUACUUCAGAAAAGCUGUUUGAUAAUGGCUCACGUGCCAUUUACUUUCAAUACCAAGUAAGUAUUAGCUUCGGUUAUUGAGCAAUACCAUAUAAAGAUAUGAAAUUGAAAACCUCCCCCCAAACCCUCAGGCAGUCCCAUUAUUUAAAAAAGUCUAUUCUUAUUCCACCCUCAAGCAGAAGUUGAACCCUCCCACAAAAACAAACUGCUUUUUCUUUGGUCUACUUGGAUCCUGUAGACAGCAGGGCAAUCAGUCCAGACGAAGCACUUAUGGAAAGGAUAUAGUUUACAGUGGGGUUGAAGUUCUUCAGCACAAAAAAUGAAGCAAUGAUGACCAGGACCAGAAAGAGAGUAUUGUUGUAGAAGAUGGAAAAGGUUGUUGCUUCAUAAUCUGCAACUUCGUUUUUCUUCCAUAAAAUCCUUUCAUCCUUCUCCUUCCGAGACAUCUUCCUGUUGUCUGCCUCAGAAAGCUUGCGAGUAACUUCUUUGGAAACAGCAUCUUCUCUCUUCUGUGCUACCUUGUGCUUGAGGACGAACUUGACGUUCUUAUACGCAAACGCCACGAGGUAGGUACUGAUGAGGGUCAUCACGCUGUACAGCACGGCAGACUGAACCAGAUCCAUGUGCCAUAUCCUCCAGUAGAGCCAGAUGGGGAUGGCAGAGACGAUGAAGGCGUUGCCGAAGAAGAGCGCGGAGGACUUGGCCGAGAGGUUGCGGCUGAAGUCCUGCAGCAGCAGAUCCUCCUCCGACUGCUGCCGCCCGCCGGGACCACCUUUGGGCGCCAUGCCUGGGUACAGUCAGCGCUGCCGAGGACGGGGAGCCACUUCCGGUGCGCUGGACGCUACUUCCGGCGAGAGCGGCGCCACUUCCGGUAGUGGGGGGCGGCGGCCGUUCCCGCCGUUCCCGCUGAGGUGAUGAUGUCCGCUCGUCCCUCAGCCGCCGCCGAGCGCCGCCACGGAGCCCGCAGCCGGGCCUGGAGCCGCCCCCGCGGGAUGCGGCGGAGGUCGGCGCUGCUCAGGCCCCCGGGCCCGGCUGCAAGCAGUGCUGUGAGCGAUGCUGCUGAUGGUGAGGCCUUCCUGUGUGGUAUGGAAAUGCACCUGCAGCAGGGAUCCCUGGGCUGACAGCACAGCGGGCUGCAUGGGGCUCUGAGUGCCAGCAGAAACACUGGUGCCAAAAUCGUACAAGAAUCCCUAAGGUGCAAAAGGGGAAAUUCCUGUGAGGCAGCGUGGAACAACCUGAGGUGGGUCAAGAGCAGAACCACAAAGCUUUUGCUGGGGCCCCUUCCAUCACCACAGCAGUGCUAGGAACAGAUGCCCUGGGGCUGAAGGGCUGUAAAGUCUUUUUAGUUUCAGUAGAAAAUUCUGCUACAGUGAUGUGGUGUUGUUCUGUCCAAAGGUCUCCCAAAGGUCAGUGCUUGAAUGCUUAGGAUGUCAUUGCUGUCUGGGCAGUGUGUGGGCCGGAUAGCAGAGGUCGUUUAGCUGUACUUGUGUAGCCAUCGCCCUCUGUGUUAGGGCCUAUCUGUACCUAAGGGAAAUGAAAGCAGUGUUCUCAACGUGUUACUGAAACAUUGUUUUACAAGGGGGAAUAAUUCUACAUUCCAUCAAAUUCGUUUAUUACAGAGUCUUGUGUCAGAGUUCUUUUGAAUUACGUGUGCUGUGUUCUUCAUGUGGUGUGAAGUGACCUUUCUGUCAAAUUCUGAUUGUGGUUUUCCAGCUCUGCCGACCUAAACCCUUGGGAACACACAGCAAUUGUUUCUGCAAGUAACAGAUUACUGUAAAUAAUAGUUCUCAAGCUUAUGGAAAAUUCUGUAUUACUUUGAGUGGUUCUUUCUUGGCAUAGCUCUGCUGAAAAGAUUACAGGCUCUUACAGCUUGAUGGCUUAUGCAGUCCUUCUAAUCUAAUUUAAAGGCUCUCGAUAGCUGUGUUUUUUUAGCUAAUAAAACCUGUGGAGAAAAACUCCCUUGAGAUUAAUACAUAAUGUAUGAACAGACCAAAUAGGACCGUUUUCGCUGUCAUCCAGCGUUACUGGUAGGACAUUCCAGUAUUUCUUACGGUUCAGUGAAUUGCUCUGUUGUUAGUUGCCAUGGUAGCUGACAACCUGUAUAAUAGAACUCUGAAAGCCCUCCAGACAAAGGCACGUCUCUUUCAGGAUACUGACUGCUCUCACAUCCCAACCAUAACGGUUGUAUCAGAAAAGAGAUACUGGCAAUAAUCCUCUCUGAGAGCCACAAAAUAGCGCUUAGGGCUAAAUUACACGCCACCCUAUUGGUGAUUAUAGCUCGAUCUCCGUGUUGUUGUACAACUUGCAUUUGUAAAAGUAACAGAACGUUGUGUGCUCUGUGCAAUUACAGUGCACACCCUAAACAAAAAGCUGUAACAACAAAUGUUCUCAGCAGGGACUUUGAUACACCCUCUCUGUUCCUUGCUUUUAUAACACGACUUCAUCGGAGUAAAUGUGCAGAAAUACCUGAUAUUUUAGGAUUGUUUGUUUCAGCCAGUUACAGAAUGUGAGACAGAAACGUAUACAGCUGUCUUCUAGAAGAGUCUUAUUUCUUUCAUGCUGUGCCCUGAUGCUUGCACACGGUUGGAGGGUUUUUUGUGUUCUUUUUAAAGCACCAGUGGUGCAUAUUGUUACACGUGGGGAGGGUGUCUGUCGUCCUCAAAUUAAGAGCACUCUUUGCAGUAUGUGGACUAAAAAGUUUGUGACAGCUUGCAGCUGUUUAUGGCACUUCUCAAAAGUGCAUUCUCCUCAUUGUGGCUAGAAGAAAUCCGGGCUCAUUUCUUUCUGUGCUUCUUUCCUCCUCAGUGCUUGUUAGUUGGUAACUAAAUUAAAUGUGCACGAUGAGCGUGAACUGAGCAGUUGUGCUGUGUGUGUGGUGCAGGUGGAUGAGAAGCAUUUUGGUCCUCUCUGUGCUAUGCUUUUUUUUUUUUUUUUUAAGCUUUCUGUGAAACCAGGGGUUUACAAUUGCACCUCUAACCUGGCUGUAUUACUUGUCAGGCAGAUCAGUUGCAGGGUGUGGUUCAGAGCACAGCCCCCAAACCAGCACAGCUGUUGCACAGCUGGAGGGGCAGUCUUAAACUUGCAACUCGAAACCUGCCGAAUUUCUGUGGCCCUUCUGUAACUGAAGAGAGCUCAGUGUAGCACUGACCCAUUUUUGGUGUCUUGAAAUGAUCUCAUCUGUUCCAGUUUCCUCCUUUUAACGUUUUUCAGGCUUUGGUUGGUAGACUUUUCUGCAUGUCGACCAGAUGAAUGAAAUAAUGUCUGUAAGUAGGUUCCUGGGGGGCUUCUUUACUCAACACUUUUCUCAGAUACUUCAUGGAAUUAACACCUUGGAAAAGCGAUAUUGAAUGCAGUAUUUGACAAGUAACAAAGUUAUAUGGGUAAGAAUUAACCUAAUAUUCAAGAUUUAGGGCAUCUGUUUCUCUAACAUGAUCUGUUCCAUGUUGCUUUGAGAUCAGGAGGUAUGUCCUGCAGAUAAUCCAAGUGAAAGCUUUUAAAAGCAGGAAAUACAAAAUCACAGUAUCUUAUUUAAUCCUUUAGCGUAUCCUUAACUUGUGUUCUGACUGAGCACAAAAUCCCCUGUUGUGGUUGCUCUGGAGGCUUGUGCAGCUUGACACUGUAUGUGAGUGUGCUCCAGCCAAAUGUGACCCCAGCAUGGGCACUCACUCGGUGUGCACUGCGAUGUGUGACUUCCACCACUCAGAAGGACUCUUCCAGACAUGCAGCUAUGGGAGUGUCACUGUACAUGGAGGUGCUGUAGGCAUUUGUAUGGGUCACACUCACUUUUUAUGAUGUGGUGGAAGAAUUACAGCAUGAAAUUAAGCAUGUGAGCUGUGCUGUUAAUGCUUUGGCACUAGAGCUGCCAAAGGUGAGGCUGAGAAAGCUAUGGGAAUGAGCCUUUAAUAGAGGCAGACCUACCAAAUUGUGCUCCACGUGUUGAAGGCAACUGGCAUGCCCUAGGAGAGCAAAAUGAGAGAAAGGUGUGACUGAGGCAGUGGAGCUCUGGCCCAGGGCCCAGGUUUGUUGCAGGCUACAUAGCAACAUCUGUAACCAUCCCUUUGGUUGCUGCCUCUGUGUUGUGUAUUUGUGCAUGAAGGGUGCUAGGCAAUCAGGAACAGCCACUUAAAUAGGGGAUGGUCGUCUUGUGUCUCUAACUGCAUGCACAUUGUAAGCAGUUCAGAUGUAUUCCUCACAUUAGGAACGUAUUGGGUGAUUUGCACUGGAGUUAUGCUGGUCUAGUUCAGCACUCUGAAUCCCAGUUAGUGGGAGGAAGUUGGCCAGAUGGGAUUUCUGGGUCUUAAAUGUGUGUCAAACACCCACUGCCGCUUCAUCCUUCAGCAGCAUAGGAGGGUCUCAUGGUGGUUGGUGUCACUUCCCACCUGUGAGUUCUCUCUGGGCUUUCCCAGAAGAAAACCUUAGCCACGGGGAAAUCUUAGCCUGUAAAGUAUAGCCACAAGAGUUGCCCACCCACAUGCUGAUGGCUCCUAAAGCGCUCAUGUUUGGAUGCGUGAAUAAAAGGGGAUAUUUAUGUCUACUCCACUUGAGGAUGGUUGUUUGCAGUUGCAUAUGGCACACAAUAGCCUUGUGCAUCUCAAACUCAUCACAGUAAUACCCACUGCACUGUAAUGGUCUGCACAAAAUGGAGCGUGGUCUGGUUUUGCCAGAUGUAAUACAUGUUUGUGCUGUUGCUUUCCAGGUGUGCCUUUACAAUUGCUGAACUUUUGGUUGAAGAAUGGCCACUAUUGAUGUGUAGAUAGUAAGCCAUCUACGUAUUGCAGGUGGAAGUAGCUUUAAUUUUGGAAGUGUUGAAAUGUUCGUUGACCAACACUGGAUUAUAAAGGAGCAUUUCUGUUCUCCUUAGUUUAAAUUGGAGUCAGCCUAGGGAAGAAACAAAGCCCCGCCGUCCAUAUCUGUAUGUGGGAUGCUUGUACUAAUUCAGGAGACUUCCACAAGAGGGGGCACCACUUCAACCGUAUAUAGAAACCCAAUGAGGGUGUCCCCAUUGCAUGUUUUCUGUCAUUUUCUGUGUUAAUUCAUGUCUCUAAAUCAGCUUCAAAAUUGCAUGGAUGCUUUCUCCAGUUGAAUGUCCCCGUUUGUCUCCCCAGUCUGUGACAUGAAUGGAUACCUUUUUCUUUGUGGGUAAGCAAGUCAGGAAGUGUAGCUAGGCACAAAGGGCACGUUUCCAAGGAGUCCUGCUUGUGCUCAUGAAAAGCUGUCUUUAGGUUCCAGUCACAAAAUGCUAUUUAGAUCCUUGUUUUCUUUUCAGCAUACUCAAAAGUGUUGCAUGUUAUUAAUUCAGGGACAGCCUCCUGCAGAUGUUCACUUUUUUGCCAUUCAAGAGUAAGGGCUGUUGUCUAAGUUUUGAAGCAUCAUCAAUUUGCUUUUCAACCUGGUACAGCUUUAGGUAAUAGAGCUGCAGGAAAAAAGCCUCCAUCUCGAAGGGUAACUUCGUGGGAGACUCUUGGCCUGAGUGCAACUGAUACCACUUCUUCCUGUUUCUAUUUUGUGCUAAAAUCGUGUUGUUUUGUAAUACAGACAGGAACUCUGAGCAAAACUUACGCUUAAGAUGUACUAAAAAUGCUACAGCGUUUUGCUGGAUGUAGGCCAAAGUGCUGCGUCCCUUCCUUUGGGGCUGCGGCACUGAGAUAGGAAGAUAUCUCUUCGGGAGCGAUUAACUGUAAUACAUUUACCAGGAAAAGGGCCCAGGUUUUUUGAAUCGCACGCUGUCUGUGUGAGCACAUGAAUCACCCCCCAUACAGAUAACGUUAUGUGAUAGUCAGCAGAGUAACUGAAAGUAUGAUGAUAUUCAUUUGUGCUUUACAGGAUUCUUCUCCCCUGUGAAAAGCUGGUUUUACCAAACUUGCAGCCUCUCUUAAGGAAGAGAAGCAGAGAAUGGUGUGUUUUUAAAGCUUCCAAUUUUCAGUACGAGUUAUUAAAGUAAGGCGAAUUUGAGUCAAAUAUGUAUGUAUAUAUUUAUUAUUGCUAUCUGAAAAUAUGCAAGUUGGGCCUAGAUGCAAAAUACGUCAUUUACUGAUAGUAAUGAGUGUGAACUGCUGUGUUGGGUCCACAGCCCUGGCACCUCUGAGCCAAGUUGGGUCCCAGCUGCCGCUCUGGGCUGCGGGAUGAAGCAUUUGCUGCUGCCAGAAGGUCCUCCAUCUGAUGUAGAGCAAUGUUUGUAUCAACCUGGCCAACCUGUGGUCGUUGCUGAGCAUUUCUAGCAGAGAAAGGCUUUAAUUAAUAGAGCGUUCCAUGUCAGCGUGUUGGGACGUUGCGGUUUCUCUCCGUGUUGGUAAGCGCGGUGCAGCCAGUAGGUGUCACUGCGACAAAGGCUACUGGGUCAACAGUGCUGAACCUGCGCUGCCCUCCUCUUCUUCAUUCUUCAGUAAAGGCUGACUUGCAUUAUUUCACCUUCACAUAAACACAUCGAGUACUCGUUUUACUUCUAAAAAUAAUAAAAACAGCCCAUAAUUACGAUAACUGGUUCUGGAAUUAAGGGGGUCGAUAGAAAUGUGCUCAAAGUCAAAAUGCCAUGUUUGUACAACUCGUAAGGGAGGAAAAGGCAUCUGCAUCUCACAGCCUGAGUCUGUUGGCAGAGGACGUGAUAAAAAAUGGACUAUUGCACAGUUCCUGCACAAAGGAAGAGUCCACACAUCUCAACAAUGGAAAACUGAUCAGAAAUUCUUUUUCCUUCUGUUAAUUUAAAUAUUUAUGGUAAUAAUAAUCCGCAUCAUUGACAUUUCUUCUUCCUUGGUACUUGAAUAACCUGACUUGCUGGCACGUGUCUGUGACAGAACAAGGGUAGCCUUGAGAUUCAGUUUGAAGGCAGUUAGCAGAUUUCAUCAGGCACUGCUAUGUGAAGGAGCUGUCUGUUUGGGUAUUUUUUAAGCACUACAAUGAAAAUUAGUUGAGGUGAGUUUGCACUGAUUUUCAAAUAAUAAAUGUACAUCUUUUGCUGUAAAGCAUUAAUAGAUGGGCAUCGAUUCAGCUGUGUAAAAGCAGAAAUCUCAUGUUUCUGCUCACAUAAAGGUAUGCAAACUGUAGUGUAUUUUUAUGCAAAUGCUAACGAGUUGGUAGUUUAAGAACAGUUCUGUCAUCUUUUUUUUAAUUAUUUUCAACAUUUGUGCAUGCUGCUGCACAGCAAAGAAAGGGCUGUAUAAUCUUCUAUGCUUUCUUGGACAUUGGAGUGCAGAAUGGCUGAUCCGGUAUGGCAGGUGCUGCGGUAUGAGACAAGGAGCCGUGUCCUUCCCUUGGUCAGUCACUUGUUGCUUCACUUGGCUAUGAUUCAUCCCGUAUUUUGGCUUAGCUGUUAGAGCACACAAUUAAGACUUUGUGAUAUUAACGAAAAAGCCCAGAACGGUGAUUUCAGUGCUGCAUACCAACUUCUCUACGUGUAGAUAGUGGAAAAUCAGUGUUGUAGAGCAUUUUUGGUGUAAAAUUCCAUGUAGUGGUUGAUUAUAUAGGGGAAAUGGUAGAGAAGUUCUUGGAGGAGACUCGGGUACCUUCAUUCUUCUCUCAAUUUGUUGUGUACAGUGGAGUGGAUUGGUUGUAUUGUGCACAUGCAGGAUACAUUGGGGAUGGUAUUGCUGAGCAUCUUGCUCAGAAGACUUGUUUCUUAAUGCCUUGAAAUUCACGAAGGCCACUUAAGCACAGUAUUAGAAGUAAUCUUAAAGUGAGGUAACUUCCAGCCAACGCACCUUUCCGUAAACUUGAAUUUCAGUCUUGCGAAUUGUGUGAGUAGCAGAGAUCUCAGCCCGAUAGCGGUGGUUUUGUGACUACUGAGUUAUACUAUCAGAGAAAAGAAAUCUCGCAGCGCUGUUUUGCACCAUGACCUCGAUUCACCUUUUCUGGAACCGGCUGCCUUACUUUCUGACAGGCUGUGCUGGGCACUACAGGAAGGUGUGUGCCCCAUCACACCGCACAGCUGCUUCUCUUUCCAGCAGUGUCAGUGAUCACUUGCGUGACAGUGGAGAAAAUGAAAAUGUAAACGUGUUAGAAAUUUCUUGGACAGAUGACUGAAUUAGAUAUAUAGUUUAGGCAGGGAAGUAACUUCACUGCAUUUACUUUUUUUGCUGGUUAUAAAGUACCAGGAGGAAAAGACUUUAAAAUACGUUGCUCCAUACAUUGGUUUUGCUCCCAGCCCUUUUUUUUUGCCAUUGCUUCCGAAACUUUUAAUUUCCUAAGGAAAGUACUUUUCCCAUGAAAAGCAAUUUGAAAAGUCAUAGAAUCAUAGAAUGGCCUGGGCUGCAAAGGAGCACAAUGAUCAUUUAGCUUCAACCCCCUGCUGUGUGCAGGGUCACCAACCACCGGACCAGGCUGCCCAGAGCCACAUCCAGUUGUUUCUCAGCAGUUCUUCCAUACUGCAUACCUUCAGGGGAGCGCUCUGUUGAGCUGCCUAAGCGAGGUCAUGAACGGCCGGUUUGUGAGGUGGAGGCAUCUGAGGACACGUGGAAUACAUUGAGUGGUGAGAGCUCAGGCUUGGCUUGCUGGGCUUCUGUAAUAAUUGGGUUAUGUGGGAGCCCUUGUCUGGUUUGAAGCAGUGGGAUAUGCCACUCCUUAACUUGCUGGCAUGGGGAGACGUUAUGGAAGACAGUACAUGGAAUAUAACAGCUUUCUUCUUUGCUGCUUUAUCUGGCGGAAAUACACUGAGCUGAAACUCAAAGAGCUUACAGCAGUGUCUAUGCCUCCCCCUUUUGCUCUCGUACUUUAGAAUGCAAAAGCAACUGAGUAAGCGAGGUGUCCUUGGGAUGUGUGGCUUCCGAGGAGCUGGGAAGGUACAGCACAGCUUCUGUGGGCCCUGUGCUGCAGCAUCCUUCAUUCCCAUCAGCGUGUGCUGACUUCAUGUAAAACAUCAGAAGUGGGAAAUUGACGUAAGGCGGUAUAUUUUGUGAAGUUAAAAAUGCCCAUUGUGCAAGGGCUCAGAUUGAGAGGGAGGCCUUGUUGUCACUGGGCUGAAAACAGCUUUGUAGCUGUGAACCUUUAAGUGAAGACAUUCUGCUUCUUUCCUCAGUAGAUAGGUGAUGUGUGCCUGCCGACAGCUACGUUAUCUGCAGGUCACAGCUGUCAAUGGCUGCAUUCACUUCACUGCACUCCACCAUUCGAAAGAAAUAAUGAAAGCCCUCGCUUAAAAUUUAAACGUGUAUUUAAAAAUGAGGUCAUCCUUUCCUGCUGGUCAGAGUUGCUUGCUUUAUGCAUUUGGCUGGGAUAGCCUCAGAAACAGCUUCGUGCUCUGCUGCCGUGCCGUGGUGUGUUUCCUUUAAUUAUACAUUUGCAUGGAGAAGGAUUGCAGCCUGCUCCCCUCCUGUGCCAUCCUCCCGCCCUCCGCAGUGGGAGUUGUGCGGAUCGUGGCGUGUUGUUCAGCCGGCUGCGUUAUUUAUAUCUCAUGCAUGAAAUCAGCCGUUCCAAACAGAUAAUUUCUGCUCCUGUAAUAGAAAAGCAGCAGCAAGCGUGCCUCCAGCUCUCUCACAGGGUGAGGGUGUGACGCAUUGCCAGUCACUGUGCUUACUAAACUCUCGCUGUGCCCAGACAGCACAGGGCUGUGCCUGCCUGAUGUUUCAGAUACUCGGGGCCCAAUUAGGGCCGAAAAUCUGUUUUCAGCUCCCGUAGGUACGGAUGCCUGCUUUCCUCAGCCCCUGUUGUGUCAUUCUGUGAGCAGUCGGCUCCGGCUGCCCGCAGCUGAGUGCUGUAAUUUCUUUGCAGCGCUGGCGCAUUAUAAAUGCAUCUGUGCAGCAUUUUCCAAAUGCACCUAAUUCCUGAUGUCACCCUGUGAGCUGACAGCUUCUUUCCAGAUGCCCGUGUUCUUUGGGUACCUAAUGCUGUGAAGUUGUUGAGCAUGUGUGUACAAAGGAAAGGGAGGCCUGGCUUUACUGAAGAGAACACCGCUGCAGCUAACACCAUGACAGGCAUUCCAUCGCCAUCCAUUUGAGCGUCUUUUAGCGCUUUUUCCCCCGCUGUGGGUAGCCCUGUGUGGUCAGGUCAGUGAUGCUAAGGAGCUGUCAGGCCGUGUGAGCGGAGGGCACGUCCUGCUGCCAUGCAGCAAAGCAGCACGGGCUGCCUCAGCCUGCAGCACCCCCAGCAGCACCCGCACAGCUGGGCUGCCCCGUGCGCUCACACACGCACAGCCGCCUGCCGGAAGAUGACAGCAUGCUGCUGGCUUUUGGACAAAAGAAAGUUAGCUCCGCUCUUAACGCCUUCCAUCUCCACGCUGCGCUGUGUAAAUAGACGGGAACUCGCUCCAGUUCAGUACGUUGGCUUUUGCAGCGCGUCCCUUGAAGCAGUGGGUGGGCCGGACCCGGGUGCUGCAGCUCCGUGCUGGGGUGGUGCAGAGUUACGGUGGCGGUGCUCGGAGGGGGCUGGGAGGGAUUGUAGCUCUGCUCUGGUGCGAAUCAUCCCUCAGUCACGAAGGAGUGCUCGUAGAGCAACCUAAACUAAGAAGUUCGGUAAGGUCGGGAGCGCCGGUGCCGUUGGUUUUAGUGCGGGCUGUUCGUUCCGAGGUGGUAACGGGGGGGACUGGCAGCGG
This 12093-nucleotide long non-coding RNA is filed under the name Gallus gallus (chicken). Lineage: Eukaryota; Metazoa; Chordata; Aves; Galliformes; Phasianidae. The record is from RNAcentral.